RNAcentral lists this non-coding RNA (224 nucleotides) under Stenotrophomonas maltophilia. The record is from RNAcentral. Lineage: Bacteria; Pseudomonadati; Pseudomonadota; Gammaproteobacteria; Lysobacterales; Lysobacteraceae.
CAGUAUCUUGUGCGCGUCGGUUCUGUCGGGCAGCAACCCGGUGGACUAAGAGGGAAGCUGGUGACGCCUGUCCGGGCCAUUCCAGCACUGCCCCGCAGCGGUAAUUGGGAACGACCCCGCCACACAGCACUGAGGCCGCCCGGCCUUGGGAAGCGGCGGAGAAGGAGGAGGCCUGCGCCUCCGCGCCCAUGAGUCCGAAGACCUGCCGACAGCCGCGCGAAGCA